UGUUGCCUGCAAGGGCGUAUGGUGGAUGCCUUGGCAGACAGGACCGAUGAAGGACGUUUGAGGCUGCGAUAUGCCUCGGGGAGCCGCCAACAGGGCUUUGAUCCGAGGAUUUCCGAAUGGGGGAACCCACCGGCCGUCAUGGGCCGGUACCGCCGUGUGCGGGGGGUACGCAGGGAAGUGAAACAUCUCAGUACCUGCAGGAAAGGAUAUUCCGUGAGUAGUGGCGAGCGAAAGCGGAUCAGGCCAAACCUUGCGCGUGUGAUACCCGUCGGGGGUUGCGCGCGGGGUGUAGAGGGAUCGCGUUUGCCGGCUCCGACGGGCCGGCCGUCAGUUGCAUAAAACCAUGUGCCAGGGGAACCGGGUUGAAUACCGGGCCGCAGAGGGUGAGGGCCCCGUACCCGAACGCGCAUGGUCUGGCGAUCGCGUCUCCCAAGUAGCACGGGCCCCGUGGAAUCCCGUGCGAAUCUGUCCCGACCGUGGGAUAAGCCUAAAUAUUCCUGUCUGACCGAUAGCGAACGAGUACCGUGAGGGAAAGGUGAAAAGUACCCCGGGAGGGGAGUGAAACAGUCUCUGAAACCAUGCGCCUACGAACCGUCGGGGCCCCCUUGUGGGGUGACGGCGUGCCUAUCGAAAAAUGAGUCUGCGAGUCAGUGGCAUGUGGCGAGCAUAACCCGUGUGGGGUAUGCGUAGCGAAGGCGAGUCUUAAAAGGCGUUUAAAGUCGCGUGUCCUGGACCCGAAGCGGGAUGAUCUAGCCCUGAGCAGGUUGAAGCGCGGGUAAGACCGUGUGGAGGACCGAACCCACCUGGGUUGAAAACCGGGGGGAUGACUUGGGGCUAGGGGUGAAAGGCCAAUCAAAUUCCGUGAUAGCUGGUUCUCUCCGAAAUGCAUUUAGGUGCAGCGUCGGAUCGAUUACAUCCGGGGGGUAGAGCGACUGGAUGCUUGCGGGCCCAUAUCGGGUACCAACAGCAACCAAACUCCGAAUACCCGUGAUGCGUAUCCCGGCAGUGAGUCGGCGGGGGAUAAGCUCCGUCGUCGAAAGGGAAACAGCCCAGAUCGUCGUCUAAGGUCCCCAAGCGUGUGCUAAGUGGGAAAGGAUGUGGAGUCGCAUAGACAGCCAGGAGGUUGGCUCAGAAGCAGCCACCCUUGAAAGAGUGCGUAACAGCUCACUGGUCUAGUGGUUCCGCGCCGACAAUGUAGCGGGGCUCAAGCACACCACCGAAGACGCGGCAGUAGCUUUGCUACUGGGUAGGAGAGCGUCCCAUGCGGGGCGAAGCGGCGGCGCAAGCCCGCCGUGGACCGCAUGGGAGUGAGAAUGCAGACAUGAGUAGCGAAAGACGGGUGAAGAUCCCGUCCGCUGGACGACCAAGGGUUCCAGGGCCACGUUCAUCGUCCCUGGGUGAGUCGGGUCCUAAGGCGAGGCCGACAGGCGUAGUCGAAUGGAUGAACGGGUCGAUAUUCCCGUACCGGCAUGCAACCGGCAAAACCGAAUCCGCGAGUACUAACCUCCGGGUCCGGGCUCACGUCUCCUUCGGGAGCCGGAUGCCCUGGCCUGUUGGGACCGUAACGGUAGUAGGUCAGCGCGGGAGUGACGCAGAAGGGUAGCCGGCCGCGGAGGUGGUCUUCCGUGGUCAAGCACGCAGCCCGUCCCACAGGCAAAUCCGUGGGGCGCGUGGGCGAGGUGCGAUGAUGGGCGCCGCAGGGCGCGAUAUCCGGUGAUCCCGGCUGCCGAGAAAAGCUUCGGCGUGAGGCGGCAUGCCGCCCGUACCCCAAACCGACACUGGUGGUCAGGUAGAGAAUACCAAAGCGAUCGAGCGAAUCCUGGUCAAGGAACUCGGCAAAUCACUCCCGUUCCUUCGGUUUAAGGGAGACCCCCGAUGGUGAAGCGGCUUGCCCGCGGAGCUUUUGGGGGUGGCACAGACCAGGGGGUAGCGACUGUUUACCAAAAACACAGGAGCGUGCGAAGGCGCAAGCCGCUGUAUACGCUCUGACGCCUGCCCGGUGCCGGAAGGUUAAGAGGAUCCGUCAGGCCUCGGCCGAAGCGGUGAAUUCAAGCCCCGGUAAACGGCGGUGGUAACUAUAACCAUCCUAAGGUAGCGAAAUUCCUUGUCGGGUAAGUUCCGACCUGCACGAAUGGCGUAA
RNAcentral lists this ribosomal RNA (2140 nucleotides) under human gut metagenome. Its description in RNAcentral is "bacterial LSU rRNA". It matches the Rfam family "Bacterial large subunit ribosomal RNA", at positions 1 to 2004 of the family's 2925-position model. The record is from RNAcentral.